Molecule: unclassified non-coding RNA, 278 nt
Filed under: Hevea brasiliensis (rubber tree)
Lineage: Eukaryota; Viridiplantae; Streptophyta; Magnoliopsida; Malpighiales; Euphorbiaceae
Source: RNAcentral
GGUUCCCUUGCGUGGAAAUCGUUUCCUCUUGCUCGUUUCUGCCUUCAUUUCGCUGUACCCUAAAAGAACAAGCCUGUUUCAAAGUCAACGUAUAGGGCCCCAACUUAAAAGAAUUUGGAGCAAAUCAAAGAGUUGAAGAAGUGGGGCCAAGAAGCCCAUAUUAUUUUAUUCUUUUCUUUAUAUUUUGUAAUUUUUGGGCCUAAGCCCUUGUUGUAUUUCCUUUUGUAUUUAGUUUUUUAUUUAUUUAGUGAACAUGUGGAAAUGGGCCAAAAUCCCAA